This 460-nucleotide ribosomal RNA is filed under the name uncultured bacterium. Its description in RNAcentral is "partial 16S ribosomal RNA". It matches the Rfam family "Bacterial small subunit ribosomal RNA", at positions 338 to 795 of the family's 1533-position model. The record is from RNAcentral.
CCUACGGGAGGCAGCAGUGAGGAAUAUUGGUCAAUGGCCGGAAGGCUGAACCAGCCAUGCCGCGUGAAGGUCAGUGCCCUAUGGGCGUUAAACUUCUUUUGUGCGGGAGCAAUAAUGGUCACGUGUGGCCAGACGAGAGUACCGUACGAAUAAGCAUCGGCUAACUCCGUGCCAGCAGCCGCGGUAAUCCGGGGGAUGCAAGCGUUAUCCGGAUUUAUUGGGUUUAAAGGGUGCGUAGGCUGUGAGGUAAGUCAGCGGUGAAAUGCCCCCGCUCAACGGGGUGAAGUGCCAUUGAUACUGCCUGGCUGGAAUGCGGAUGCGGUGGGAGGAAUGUGUGGUGUAGCGGUGAAAUGCAUAGAUAUCACACAGAACACCGAUUGCGAAGGCAUCUCACGAAUCCGCGAUUGACGCUGAUGCACGAAAGCGUGGGUAUCAAACAGGAUUAGAUACCCCAGUAGUC